ACAUUUAUUACUAAAUAAUAAUAUUUUCAUUUUUACUUAUGAUUCCAUUUGCAAGUAUUAAAGUGUACUGUAUAAUAUUUAAUAUAUUUUGUUAAUUUUAAAUGCUCAAUAUUGAUCGGUAUUUAUAACCUAACUUAACUGUCAACAAUUUAUCGGACUUAAAAGAUUGCAAGCAUCAGUUUGAACAUGUUUAGCUAAAAGCCUUCAUGACCAAAUUAACCAGUGAUGCUAAUCUGUUACAAAACAUAAUGGUCUACAAUGAAUGUUUAUUGAUUGUCGACAACAAUAAUACAAAAAUGACAAUGAACAUUAAAAACCCUAAUGUCGCUUGUGUAGAUAAUCAAAUGAUCUUCAGUCGUGCCUAUCGCUGACUUUGAGAAUUAUAGCAAUGAUAAAGUUAAACAAAAAAGUAUGGUGAUUUGCUGUAUACAUUUCUUAAAAUAUAUUGACUGCUCAUUUCAGAAAUUAUUGGUAUUCAAUUUAGCAGUCGCAGCAAUACUUGGAGAUGUGCGUUUUAACGUUGAUGUAUGGAAAAUCUUUGUUUAAGGGGCCUCUGCAAAACUGCAUAUUUUUUGUCAAAAACCAGUCAUGGUAAUUUUUACUAUAUUCUAAAACGUGUUAUCCGACAAAAGUUUUAAAAAUUGGUAUAGAUUUGUCAAUACUUGCUUGAUGUAUCGAUCAAAGUAAAUAUUUGUAUUCUAAAAAAUUGCGAUUAUGUACAAAGAAAUUGACUAAAAAUAGAUUUAAAAUUGUGCCUCCAUCAAUACCUUAUAAAUGUAAUGAAGAAUCUAAAUUAUAUUUAAAUAUCUCAGUAUUUUCAAGAAUACAAAAAUAGAGCCUAUUUGUAAUAUAAAAGUUAAAAAAAAAUUAAAUAUCAAAAUGAAUACCUCUUUCUUGUGUUAUUAUAUAUGUUAUAAAUCUUAGUUUAAUGUUAAGUUUUAGUUUAUAAUUUUUUCUACAAAUGCCUUAAAAAAAUGCUAGUUUUAGAGGCCCCUUAAAAAAGAUUUACAUUGAAGCACACAAAGACAAUUUCAACCGAUUAGUAUCCAGGAGCUGCAAAGAAAACGGGAAUUUGCUACAUUGUUGUAUACUGAAUUAUUUAUUAAGUAUUAUCAUAUUCGUAGCGAAAAAUAAGCUGUAAUUCGUUUUUUAAAAUUGUCUCUAUAGAUUUAAUGACAUAAUAAUGUUAGUUUAACAAGUUUCUUACAUCAUAGUGCUAUAAAUUUAGAUUCUUCCGAAUUCUGACUUUAAAGGUUACUUACAAAUGCUAUUUCAAUAUACAUCUUAGUAAAACUAAAAUAGACAAAACAAGUAGGCUCAGGGAAAUGGGGUGGUAUGUUUUAAAUAAUUACUGUUGUACAAUAAGAGCGGUUUCACAGGAGGCCUCUAUUAGAUGAAAGCAAACACUGUCACCAUGUGUAGUGCAACCAAUCUGAAUCUAUUGUUGUUUGUAAAAUCAUAUUAUUUCUCCUUAUACUUCUCAUAAAGGCCAAAGAGUAGCUUCGUGAACCGUGUGAAAGAGCUCUAAUUGUAUACCUACCACAUUAUUGUAGUAUGAUAUUAUUAUCAGAUGGCUCAGGAAAUGGUAUAAUUAGGAUUUAGGAUGGUCUAAAAAAAUAUAUUUUUAUUAAAAAAAAGUUCUGCUCUCACCUUUCUUUAUAGUAUAAAAGUAAAUUUAAAUUUAAAAAUUAAAAAUUUUUUUUUUUUUACCGAUACCUAUACCAAUCCAAUAUUAUAUACAUUUUUAUUUUUGAUAUUUAAUAAAUUAUUAUAACUUGUUUGGCUUUUUAAACCGGGAAUAGACUGCUUUAAGGCCUAGUUUUGUCGCAUUUAGGAGUUUGUUUUACUCUUUCUAGACAGUUUUCCUGCUUAGAGAGGGUGUCCAAUGUAACGGAGUGUCAAAUAUGUGAUAAUGAGUGCUUACGCAAUACCACUUCACCUCUUCGGCCACUCGCCCUCUUUACAUAAGAACAUAAAUGGCUUAAAAUCAAUUUUUUUAAUAUUUUAAUAUUUUUUUUUUGUAUUUUAGAAAUUACUUUUAAAUAUUGGUAAAAUAUAUUUUCUAUGUUAUUUUUUUUUAUCAGCCCACUGUAAAUGUAUUUUUUUUUUUGAUACUUCAAAAACAUUUUAUCUUAUGUUAUUUUACAAUAACAUACAAUUGUCACUAGUAACUUUCACAGAUUUUAGUUUUAUCUAAAAGUGAAUAAGUUGAGUAUAAAACUAAGAUGAUUUAAAUUUUUGCUGUAUAAUCUGUAAUUUAAUUAAUUGAAAUACUAAAAAUAUUUAAAGUUCCUUAAAUUAAAAUAGAGGGGUUUCAGUUGCUUAAUAACAAACUAUUUAGUUAUUUUACUUAUUCAGUUAUCCUUUUCAUUAUUAUAAUUGUAUAAAUAACAUCCUUAGUAUUACUAUGUUAAACAUUCCCCUCUACUCUUGUCAAAAAUAUUUUAUUGACAAUUUUAAUUAUUUUAAUAUUCUAUUAAAUAAGUUGUAAAACAUGUCCGGGUACAGAUUUGAUUCCUAGUAUUUUCUUGCUAAAGAGCCUCACAUCUGCGUAUUAUUGCUCAAUAACUGAUAACCAUUCAUUAUAAUUUUAACUGUAUCCUGAAAUGCAUGAUUCAACAAUGGUUUUCAAAGCGGUUGUAGAUAUUUCAAUACUUACUUUGUGUAUCGAUAAAAAGUACAUUUUAUGUUUUAGUAUUAUGUUAUUGUAAAAAUCAUUAAAAGAGUUAACGUUUUCACAAAGCAAUAAUUUUUAAUUAACUAAAAAUAAUUUUAAAAUUGUGCCUUAAUAGUAUCUUGUAAUCUUGUGAAGAAUUCAAAUGUUUUUAUAAAACAUCAAUCGGAUGAUUUUAAAGAAUGUACUGAUCAAAGUAGAAACAUAUUUUUUGUACAAAAAUAGAGCCUGUAUAUGUUAUAGAAGUUGAAAAAAAUUAAUAUAAUCUUUAAAUAUCAAAAUAGAUCCCUCAUUUUUGUGUUAAUUAUGUAAUCAUGCUUACAAAUUUUAGCUUAAUGCUUAAAUUUAGAGAAAAAUUGCCUAUACAAUGCGCCUUAAUACGUGUUAUUGUAGAGGCCUCUAAAAUGUAAUUAAGAGAUCUUAAACUCUCCGCUAACUAUCUAUUUCUGGUGGUAUUUUACUAACUAUUGGAUAAGUAGUAUUAUUUCUCCACUUCUUCAAAGGAGUGAUUUUAAUGAUGUUUCAAAUUUCAGCCCAAUCUUGCUUAUGUUUAGUGGAUUAGUACUUACAUUAGUUCAAAAUCCCAAAUCUUUAUUAUGUUAUAAAAUAUCACCUAUUUAUUGUUAAUUUAAUAUCACCACCAUGUGAUUUUUGGAGAUUUUUUGAAGGCUUUUGAUAAAAUUGGCCAAGAUACAAACUAUCUUGUAUUGGUACAUACAUUAUCAGACGACUGAUCCUAUUUUCUCCUUGAUAUUCCUGUUAUUAGUUAUUACAGGUCUUACCCAGCUUGUUAAGUAUUAACAAUUUAACUCAUGUUCUUUUAAUGUUUUAUCCAGUAUCCCCCAAGCUAUCCUAUCUUGCUCCUCUGUCUAUCUUCAUAAAUGAUACAGAGUAUAACAAAUUCCUUUUUUCUCCAAUUAAUUUUAAGAUUACUUAACUUUAAAUGUAAUUAUGAUCUUUUCUCGUUCUAAUUCAUCAAUUUGUAUUAACUAUAACACAUUAGUGAUGUUUAGACAAUAUUAAUAAAAGCUGUCGAAGUUAAAGAUUUAAUAAUUAUUUAAGAUUCUAAUAUAUUUUAAUUUGGACAUACUAUAGGUAUAAAACAAAUUGUUUGAAAUUCUAGGUUCUGAAAUUAGAAACUGUAAGAAACUUAAAUAUCCAAAUUCUUAAAGUGGUAUUGGUUUUACUGUUUAUAUAACUAUAUAUAUAAUACUACCUGCUGUAUUUCAUAUUUUAUCUUUAAUAUACAGCGCGUGUUACAAAUUUUAAUUUGCACUUAAAUGAGAUGUUGCACAAUGUUCAAUAUUAUCCACUAUCUUUUUUCUUUUUAU
Long non-coding RNA from Adelges cooleyi (spruce gall adelgid), 4005 nucleotides. RefSeq lists it as uncharacterized. NCBI's taxonomy places the organism in Eukaryota, Metazoa, Arthropoda, Insecta, Hemiptera, Adelgidae. The record is from RefSeq and is a predicted model, not a curated record. The transcript has 4 exons.